GGUGUGGGUCUCAUUCCACGAGAUCCGUGCCGCAGCUAACGCAUUAAGUUCCCCGCCUGGGGAGUACGGCCGCAAGGCUAAAACUCAAAGGAAUUGACGGGGGCCCGCACAAGCGGCGGAGCAUGCGGAUUAAUUCGAUGCAACGCGAAGAACCUUACCAAGGCUUGACAUAUGCGAGAACGCGGCAGAGAUGUCGUUCUCUUUGGACACUCGCAUACAGGUGGUGCAUGGUUGUCGUCAGCUCGUGUCGUGAGAUGUUGGGUUAAGUCCCGCAACGAGCGCAACCCUCGUUCUAUGUUGCCAGCACGUGAUGGUGGGGACUCAUAGGAGACUGCCGGGGUCAACUCGGAGGAAGGUGGGGAUGACGUCAAAUCAUCAUGCCCCUUAUGUCUUGGGCUUCACGCAUGCUACAAUGGCCGGUACAAAGGGCUGCGAUACCGCGAGGUGGAGCGAAUCCCAAAAAACCGGUCUCAGUUCGGAUUGGGGUCUGCAACUCGACCCCAUGAAGUC
Molecule: ribosomal RNA, 510 nt
Filed under: Salmonella enterica
Lineage: Bacteria; Pseudomonadati; Pseudomonadota; Gammaproteobacteria; Enterobacterales; Enterobacteriaceae
Description: bacterial SSU rRNA
Rfam family: Bacterial small subunit ribosomal RNA
Source: RNAcentral